AUAUGUAUAUUUGGGUGCUUUCUUAGGACAAAUUAGAAAGCAUUCUGCCUUAAAAAGGCCACAGAGCUCUGCUUGCUUCUAUACCUUAAGACCAGAAAGAAGAGCCAGCCUCUAUUAGAGGAUUCCAAAGUUAAGUGACUGCCUGGAACACAGAGAUAUUCUUCCAGCUCUGUGAGCUUAGGUUCCUGAAACACUUUCCAAUCUACACCACCAUGUUUGUUUAGCUCCACUGGAUAAAGAACUGGGAAGAUUAAGGCCUAUGUGGAGAUGGAGUGAUUCUGACGUGACAGGAGAGAGGAGAAAAGGAGAAAAGUCUGAUGCGACAAAACAAUCAUGUGGAACCUGAACCUCCUUAAUAAGAUCAUACUUUUUUUCCAUAGUAGGUAGCUUUCACCCCACUGGUAUGAACAUAAUUUCACUGAUAUUUCAUCUGGACCCAAGCAAAAUGAUUUCCCUGAAGUGUUUUGUGUAUAUUUAACUGGAUUUUUGCUCCGCAGAUUCUGUGGGGGCUGCUAGCAUGAUUGGAGCAUGUUCUAUAGGCUUUACCGUGAAAUAUUUUUUA
Ornithorhynchus anatinus (platypus) is the source of this 562-nucleotide long non-coding RNA. RefSeq lists it as uncharacterized. The record is from RefSeq and is a predicted model, not a curated record. The transcript is spliced from 3 exons. NCBI's taxonomy places the organism in Eukaryota, Metazoa, Chordata, Mammalia, Monotremata, Ornithorhynchidae.